CCUGGGAGGUGUGAUAUCAUGGUUCCUGGGAGGUGUGAUCCUGUGCUUCCUGGGAGGUGUGAUAUCGUGGUUCCUGGG
This is a microRNA precursor of Homo sapiens (human), 78 nucleotides long. Ensembl annotates it as microRNA 3689a. The record is from Ensembl. NCBI's taxonomy places the organism in Eukaryota, Metazoa, Chordata, Mammalia, Primates, Hominidae.